CUGGAUUGUGACCAGGCCAUCUCCUUACAUGUCUUGCUGCACCAGCAUGAGCAGUGAUCCCUUCUGUUCAAAAUUUUCAGGCAACAUCGCAAUGAGGCAAAACAUUGUGCCGAAUCUGCCGUACAAAGAGUGUUCAAAGCUUCACGCUACUAACGGACGAAUACAUAAGCAUUCAUUUACUUUGAAAGAAUAAAGGAAUUCUAUAGCUUCAUACAAAUUCGCCUAUCAGCAACUCUCCCUGGUCGUUCAAAAGUUGCUUGACGAUUCUACCAUCUCCAUACUAUGAAGGAGCGCUUCUUCAUUUCUUCAUUUUAUCGGAACCUUAACGUAUCCUUCCAACACAAUGUCCAUGGACAACGGUAAUGAGGUCGGCGCCUACGAGUUUGACCGGAACGCCCUGGACAACAUCGCCCGUCGGCGACAAGAUCGNCCACGCAAGAAAUACAGCCAG
This 451-nucleotide long non-coding RNA is filed under the name Volvox carteri. Its description in RNAcentral is "long non-coding RNA (VCAR_LNC003807)". The record is from RNAcentral. Lineage: Eukaryota; Viridiplantae; Chlorophyta; Chlorophyceae; Chlamydomonadales; Volvocaceae.